RNAcentral lists this ribosomal RNA (301 nucleotides) under uncultured bacterium. RNAcentral's name for it is "partial 16S ribosomal RNA". It matches the Rfam family "Bacterial small subunit ribosomal RNA", at positions 509 to 807 of the family's 1533-position model. The record is from RNAcentral.
CAGUAGCCACGGUAAUACGUAGGGUGCGAGCGUUAAUCGGAAUUACUGGGCGUAAAGCGUGCGCAGGCGGUUGUGCAAGACAGAUGUGAAAUCCCCGAGCUUAACUUGGGAACUGCAUUUGUGACUGCACGGCUAGAGUGUGUCAGAGGGGGGUAGAAUUCCACGUGUAGCAGUGAAAUGCGUAGAUAUGUGGAGGAAUACCGAUGGCGAAGGCAGCCCCCUGGGAUAACACUGACGCUCAUGCACGAAAGCGUGGGGAGCAAACAGGAUUAGAUACCCGGGUAGUCCCUGUCUCUUAUAC